GCGGUAGCGCCGACGCGGGAGAGUCGGACCUGCCUGUAAAGCAGGUGCCUUGCUGAGAGGGUUCGAAUCCCUCCUACCGCAC
Molecule: transfer RNA, 82 nt
Filed under: Actinoplanes auranticolor
Lineage: Bacteria; Bacillati; Actinomycetota; Actinomycetes; Micromonosporales; Micromonosporaceae
Description: tRNA-Tyr
Rfam family: tRNA
About the family: Transfer RNA (tRNA) molecules are approximately 80 nucleotides in length.
Source: RNAcentral